GAGCACGUAGGUGGGUUUGUAGGUCAGCUGUGAAAGCCUCCUGCUUAACGGAAGAACAGCAGUUGAAACUACAGUGCUUGAGUGCGGGAGGGGAGAGUGGAACUUCUGGUGGAGCGGUGAAAUGCGUAGAUAUCAGAAGGAACGCCGGCGGCGAAAGCGGCUCUCUGGCCCGUAACUGACGCUGAGUGUGCGAAAGCUAGGGGAGCAAACGGGAUUAGAUACCCCGGUAGUCCUAGCCGUAAACGAUGGGCACUAAGUAGAGGGGUUUU
RNAcentral lists this ribosomal RNA (269 nucleotides) under uncultured bacterium. Its description in RNAcentral is "partial 16S ribosomal RNA". It matches the Rfam family "Bacterial small subunit ribosomal RNA", at positions 565 to 832 of the family's 1533-position model. The record is from RNAcentral.